Molecule: ribosomal RNA, 284 nt
Filed under: uncultured bacterium
Lineage: Bacteria
Description: partial 16S ribosomal RNA
Rfam family: Bacterial small subunit ribosomal RNA
Source: RNAcentral
UCCUACGGGACGCAGCAGUGGGGAAUAUUGCACAAUGGGGGAAACCCUGAUGCAGCGACGCCGCGUGAGUGAAGAAGUACUUCGGUAUGUAAAUCUCUAUCAGCAGGGAAGAAAAUGACGGUACCUGACUAAGAAGCCCCGGCUAACUACGUGCCAGCAGCCGCGGUAAUACGUAGGGGGCAAGCGUUAUCCGGAUUUACUGGGUGUAAAGGGAGCGUAGGCGGCAAGGUAAGCCAGAAGUGAAAGCCCGCGGCUCAACUGCAGGACUGCUUUUGGAACUAUCU